This 454-nucleotide ribosomal RNA is filed under the name uncultured bacterium. Its description in RNAcentral is "bacterial SSU rRNA". It matches the Rfam family "Bacterial small subunit ribosomal RNA", at positions 349 to 793 of the family's 1533-position model. The record is from RNAcentral.
CAGCAGUGGGGAAUAUUGCACAAUGGGCGCUAAGCCUGAUGCAGUCCAUGCCGCGUGUAUGAAGAAGGCCUUCGGGUUGUAAAGUACUUUCAGCAGUGAGGAAGGUGGGUAUGUUAAUAGCAUAUUCAUUUGACGUUUAGCUGCAGAAGAAGCACCGGCUAACUCCGUGCCAGCAGCCGCGGUAAUACGGAGGGUGCGAGCGUUAAUCGGAAUUACUGGGCGUAAAGCGCAUGCAGGUGGUUUGUUAAGUCAGAUGUGAAAGCCCGGGGCUCAACCUCGGAAUUGCAUUUGAAACUGGCAAACUAGAGUACUGUAGAGGGGGUAGAAUUUCAGGUGUAGCGGUGAAAUGCGUAGAGAUCUGAAGGAAUACCGGUGGCGAAGGCGGCCCCCUGGACAGAUACUGACACUCAGAUGCGAAAGCGUGGGGAGCAAACAGGAUUAGAUACCCUGGUAG